GGACAGAGGAAUGGCCACUAGCCUGUAUUCACGGAACUCAACUCAGCUCCUAACCUGUGGCUGAGUUGAAUUUUAAAGGCAGACAGAAAACAGAGUACUUGAAACUGGAAAUGGUCUGGUCAAUUUUGAUAUCUAAUAUCAGUAGUGCAGAGGAUGAAUAGGACAUAAAAGUGGUCACGGAGAUAAUUUUAAAGUUACUGCAAUGAUCUAGGUAAGAUAUUUUAUCAGAGUGUGCCUCCUUAUAUGUUAACAAAUAUUUGCCAAGUAUUUUCUGUUUUU
Molecule: long non-coding RNA, 279 nt
Filed under: Callithrix jacchus (white-tufted-ear marmoset)
Lineage: Eukaryota; Metazoa; Chordata; Mammalia; Primates; Cebidae
Description: lncRNA (ENSCJAG00000082304.1)
Source: RNAcentral